CACCAUCACCUAAUUCCCCCUGAGAUCCAGCGAGUGUAUUUGCACUUGGUUAUAAGUGCAGAGAGCCCUGGAAUCUUUAUCAGGAGAACAGAAUUUGGGUGGUAGCCUUGUCGCAUACCAGAUCAGUCCCUAUGGGAGACGCCGGCUGCCAUGUUGUGAAGAUACUCAAGCAAUCCUAUGGAGAGGUACACAUUGUGAAACACCGAGGCCUCCUGCCAAUAGCCAGCAUGGAGCUGGGGUUUCCUGCUAACUACUAAAAAAGAGUGACUCGUCUUGGGGGCAGGUUCUUCAGCCCUAGUUAAACCUUCAGAUGAUCAAAACCCCUGUUGAUAGCAUGACUGAAAACUCAUAAGAGACUCCAAACGAGAAGCACGCAGCUGAACCUCUCUUACGUACCUGACCCACAAAAACCACACACUAACAAAGGGGGAGGAGUAUGUUUUGCAUUACAAUCCCUGAAAAACAAGGAGCCACCAACGGGAGUAGCGGAGGCGUCUUCAUCACGGGAGUGCAAAUGCCAUCCAUCCUUUGAGGGCAGCAGGAAGGUGGGCACGGACGAUCAGAGAACCGCUCCAGAAGACAAGAGAUGCCGGCAAACUUCGUUUUCCUUUUUCUUCUCUGUGGUCCAAAUGAUGUAUUGGACUCGUAUGCCUAUUUUCCCCUUCUGGGAAAGUUAAAAAGAAAAACUUCUUCCGGAUAUCUGUGGCUCCUCCCCCUCAGAAAAGCCAAACAGCCUCAAAGAGAGAAAACGGGGUGCUUUUCCUGAUGCCAUUGAAGGGUCGUUUCUGGACCUACCUCCAGAAACCCCUCUACCCUAUUCCAAAGCUGCCUUAAUGGGACGGCUUUUCCAAUAUCCAGGCGGGUUCAUCAUUUCCUUACACCAACCACUUGCUAAUGAUAAGGAGCAAAAUUAGAUUAGUUUUGUGGAGGCAGGAAUCGAUAUCCCGGUGUAUGUGGAGCCGAUUAGACAUUGCUAAUUAGAGCUCUCAGACAUUAAUCAAAUACCACGUAUGGGGCUGAUCAGCCAAUUCGGGCAGCGUAAAAAUCUAUCAUGUCCCAAGUUUCUCCUUGAAUGUUCCAACCUGGUUCACCUUGAAACCCGACCUGAAGACAGAAUCCCUGCCGGAGGUCUGCAUAACUGGGCUAGGAAGCUGUGCCGUUUCACAGCUCCUGAGCCUUCUGGAGCAGGAGGCCGACCUGAUGUCAUCAGGCUCCUUCUUAAACAAACACAAGCUCCAUCCUGCAGCCUUGACACCCUUUUCAUUGACUCUGUGGCAGCUGUGGCUCUGUGCCAGCUGCAGGCUGGACCCAGAGAGGCAGACCAGCACCCCAGGCCUGAACGACAAAUAAAACUAAAUGCUCACUAACUAAUAUAUUAUUCAUGUAAGAGACCAAUUGCCCAUCAUGCUACGUACUUGUAUUCAUACAAUUAUUCCUGUGUGUUUAAAUAAUGAAUGUUAGGUUUGUGUUUACUAACACAAAUCACUGAUUAAUCUGUGUUCAAGUCAAACACUGCCUUAUAGGAACACUUUGAAAUACUGUACUAGAUCAGCGCUCGCCUACUGAAUUUAGGGAUAGUUGCUAUAAUGUUAAUUCUACAGCAUGUGAUUGAGUUCUUUAGUUUGACUGAAUCUAUUGGAUAAACUAGGCUUGAAUAAAGAGUCUGUUGAUAAUGCCGGGCAAAUCCAGAUGUGAUUUAAGAUUUAUGGAACGUAUUAGAAAUAUUUCCAAGCACCUAUGUCCUUAAUUUCUGAUUCCUUAAUGCAUCUGAAUGUUAUCUUGUAAAAAGCUAUUUUUUUGCCCAAUAAACUCUUUUGAGCUCCC
RNAcentral lists this long non-coding RNA (1824 nucleotides) under Macaca mulatta (Rhesus monkey). RNAcentral describes it as "lncRNA (ENSMMUG00000058043.1)". The record is from RNAcentral. Lineage: Eukaryota; Metazoa; Chordata; Mammalia; Primates; Cercopithecidae.